This is a long non-coding RNA of Anguilla rostrata (American eel), 274 nucleotides long. RefSeq lists it as uncharacterized. The transcript is spliced from 3 exons. The record is from RefSeq and is a predicted model, not a curated record. NCBI's taxonomy places the organism in Eukaryota, Metazoa, Chordata, Actinopteri, Anguilliformes, Anguillidae.
GGGGGGGGGGCCCUCAGCACCUUUUCAUUAAUAUGCAGUACCUUCUACAUACCCUUGUCCACAGAUGACUUCUUUUCCAAUUUUUAAAGAGGCAAGUGACCACCUCCACAAUUCCCCCACAGAGCUGCAGUUGAACAAUUAUCGAUUCCCAGGAGAGAGGUUUCCCCAGAAUCGACGUCAAAGGAUUCCUACCCACGCUUUGGAAUUAGGAACAUCUCAUUUUCAUCCUCCCUCAUGCACACACACACUCUCUUAUUAAACGAUAUGAGCUUGA